UUGAACGCUGGCGGCAUGCCUAACACAUGCAAGUCGAACGGAAACGAUGGUAGCUUGCUACCAGGCGUCAAGUGGCGGACGGGUGAGUAACGCGUAGGAAUCUGCCCAGUAGCGGGGGAUAGCCCAGGGAAACUCGGAUUAAUACCGCAUACGCCCUACGGGGGAAAGCAGGGGAUCUUCGGACCUUGCGCUAUUGGAGAAGCCUGCGUCGAAUUAGCUAGUUGGUGGGGUAAAGGCCCACCAAGGCGACGAUCCGUAGCUGGUCUGAGAGGAUGAUCAGCCACACUGGGACUGAGACACGGCCCAGACUCCUACGGGAGGCAGCAGUGGGGAAUAUUGGACAAUGGGCGAAAGCCUGAUCCAGCCAUGCCGCGUGUGUGAAGAAGGCCCUAGGGUUGUAAAGCACUUUCAGUAGGGAGGAAAAGUUAGUCGUUAAUAACGGCUACCCCUGACGUUACCUACAGAAGAAGUACCGGCUAACUCCGUGCCAGCAGCCGCGGUAAUACGGAGGGUACGAACGUUAAUCGGAAUUACUGGGCGUAAAGCGCGCGUAGGCGGCCUGAUAAGUUGGAUGUGAAAGCCCUGGGCUAAACCUAGGAACUGCAUUCAAAACUGUCAGGCUAGAGUAUGGUAGAGGAUAGUGGAAUUUCCGGUGUAGCGGUGAAAUGCGUAGAGAUCGGAAGGGGAAUACCAGUGGCGAAGGCGGCCCCCUGGACUGAUACUGACACUGAAGGGCGAAAGCGUGGGGAGCGAACAGGAUUAGAUACCCUGGUAGUCCACGCCGUAAACGAUGUCUACUAUCCGUUGGGAGACUUGAUCUCUUAGUGGCGCAGCUAACGCGAUAAGUAGACCGCCUGGGGAGUACGGCCGCAAGGUUAAAACUCAAAUGAAUUGACGGGGGCCCGCACAAGCGGUGGAGCAUGUGGGUUAAUUCGACACAACGCGAAGAACCUUACCAGGUCUUGACAUCCUGAGAAUCCUUUAGAGAUAGAGGAGUGCCUUCGGGAAUUCAGUGACAGGUGCUGCAUGGCUGUCGUCAGCUCGUGUCGUGAGAUGUUGGGUUAAGUCCCGUAACGAGCGCAACCCUUGUCCUUAGUUGCCAGCACAUAAUGGUGGGAACUCUAAGGAGACUGCCGGUGACAAACCGGAGGAAGGUGGGGACGACGUCAAGUCAUCAUGGCCCUUACGACCUGGGCUACACACGUGCUACAAUGGCAAGUACAGAGGGCUGCAACCCCGCGAGGGGGAGCUAAUCCCACAAAACCGGUCGUAGUCCGGAGUGGAGUCUGCAACUCGACUCCAUGAAGUCGGAAUCGCUAGUAAUCGUGAAUCAGAAUGUCACGGUGAAUACGUUCCCGGGCCUUGUACACACCGC
This 1375-nucleotide ribosomal RNA is filed under the name uncultured prokaryote. RNAcentral's name for it is "partial 16S ribosomal RNA". It matches the Rfam family "Bacterial small subunit ribosomal RNA", at positions 29 to 1393 of the family's 1533-position model. The record is from RNAcentral.